UGCCCUGGAUACGGGGCAUGCGCAGAGCCCUCCCCUUCCCAAGGCCCGUGAGGAGUGGGCGGGGAUUCUGGACGAUAGGGUAGGAAGACUGAAGAGGAACUCCAGGAGUAGGAUGAGUGCUGUUGUCAGCUUUGGUCAAAAGGGUUCGUUUUGCUCGAGAGUUACAAAGAGGACAUCACCAUUGAAGGCAGGAACAAAACAGUCCCAACAGCGACACUGCCAGUUCAAAGCCACAUCUCUUCAAAGAGGAUGAAAGCAGAAACUGAACAAAAACUUCUUUCCUGGAGUUUAACUGUGGAAGGAUGGCAGGGAUGGACCAGGCUGCUUACAUGCAGUCGUGACCCCUGUUUGUAAAUGCUCUCAAGAGUCUCCACAUUUAAUUGUUGCUGCUAGAUCUCAUGCCUUGUGAAAUUGCGUUGUCAAUCAUUCUGAGGAACUGAAGAACUGCAAGUCUUAGAGGACAUGAAGAGUGUUGUUAUAUCUCUUCCAUACCUGCAUUUCGCUGCUCAGGAGAAGUCAGCUUAACCCUGCACCACAAAAGCCAGUGAAGGAGAGACAAGGGCUUUGUCCUGGAUGCAUUCACAUUCUCCACUGGAUGGCAGCCAGCACGUAUGGGAGGUGGAGCAGUGCUGGGCCCACUUGGCUGCGGACUUUCCUUGCUGAUGGUUCCUUUGGCUCCUGGAGUCUGUUCUUCCUACAAGUUCUCAUAGCAGGCUGAGAGGACCAAGGAAUCAACUGUCUUCCACCUAGAACAACCCUCAAUCAAUGGCUGACAAGCUGCAUAAAUCUAAUGUCCAUACCC
Peromyscus maniculatus bairdii (prairie deer mouse) is the source of this 802-nucleotide non-coding RNA. The record is from RefSeq and is a predicted model, not a curated record. NCBI's taxonomy places the organism in Eukaryota, Metazoa, Chordata, Mammalia, Rodentia, Cricetidae.